UGGGGAAUAUUGGACAAUGGGCGCAAGCCUGAUCCAGCCAUGCCGCGUGAGUGAUGAAGGCCCUAGGGUUGUAAAGCUCUUUCAACGGUGAAGAUAAUGACGGUAGCCGUAGAAGAAGCCCCGGCUAACUUCGUGCCAGCAGCCGCGGUAAUACGAAGGGGGCUAGCGUUGUUCGGAAUUACUGGGCGUAAAGCGCGCGUAGGCGGACAUUUAAGUCAGGGGUGAAAUCCCGGGGCUCAACCCCGGAACUGCCUUUGAUACUGGGUGUCUAGAGUCCGGAAGAGGUGAGUGGAAUUGCGAGUGUAGAGGUGAAAUUCGUAGAUAUUCGCAGGAACACCAGUGGCGAAGGCGGCUCACUGGUCCGGUACUGACGCUGAGGUGCGAAAGCGUGGGGAGCAAACA
RNAcentral lists this ribosomal RNA (402 nucleotides) under uncultured Mesorhizobium sp. RNAcentral describes it as "bacterial SSU rRNA". It matches the Rfam family "Bacterial small subunit ribosomal RNA", at positions 355 to 774 of the family's 1533-position model. The record is from RNAcentral. Lineage: Bacteria; Pseudomonadati; Pseudomonadota; Alphaproteobacteria; Hyphomicrobiales; Phyllobacteriaceae.